RNAcentral lists this ribosomal RNA (163 nucleotides) under Opuntia tehuantepecana. RNAcentral describes it as "5.8S ribosomal RNA". It matches the Rfam family "5.8S ribosomal RNA". Rfam says of the family: 5.8S ribosomal RNA (5.8S rRNA) is a component of the large subunit of the eukaryotic ribosome. Lineage: Eukaryota; Viridiplantae; Streptophyta; Magnoliopsida; Caryophyllales; Cactaceae. The record is from RNAcentral.
UAACGACUCUCGGCAACGGAUAUUUUGGCUCUUGCAUCGAUGAAGAACGUAGCGAAAUGCGAUACUUGGUGUGAAUUGCAGAAUCCCGUGAACCAUCGAGUCUUUGAACGCAAGUUGCGCCCGAAGCCUUCCGGCCGAGGGGCACGUCUUCCUGGGCGUCACG